Molecule: ribosomal RNA, 233 nt
Filed under: Clostridioides difficile
Lineage: Bacteria; Bacillati; Bacillota; Clostridia; Peptostreptococcales; Peptostreptococcaceae
Description: partial 23S ribosomal RNA
Rfam family: Bacterial large subunit ribosomal RNA
Source: RNAcentral
CCCUGCACUUACAAGCUGUGGAAGCACAUUUCUUGUGUGACCGCGUACUUUUUGUAGAACGGGCCAACGAGUUACGUUAAGUAGCAAGGUUAAGCACUUAAGGUGCGGAUCCGUAGCGAAAGCGAGUGUUAACAGAGCGUUCAGUUACUUGACGUAGACCCGAAACCGGGCGACCUACCCAUGAGCAGGAUGAAGCGAAAGUAAAAUUUCGUGGAGGUCCGAACCCACGAGCG